CGACGUUGAUAGGUCGGGUGUGUAAGCGCAGCGAUGCGUUGAGCUAACCGAUACUAAUGAACCGUGAGGCUUAACCUUACAACGCCGAAG
RNAcentral lists this ribosomal RNA (90 nucleotides) under Enterobacter cloacae. RNAcentral describes it as "partial 23S ribosomal RNA". The stretch from base 1 to 78 matches the Rfam family "Bacterial large subunit ribosomal RNA", at positions 2848 to 2925 of the family's 2925-position model. Lineage: Bacteria; Pseudomonadati; Pseudomonadota; Gammaproteobacteria; Enterobacterales; Enterobacteriaceae. The record is from RNAcentral.